CCUGAACAAGCGACGUCGACUGGGGCUACAAUUAAUGUUGUUCACCUAAUUCCCAGGCGCUUAGACGUCACGUAGUCAAACGGCGACGUCUAAGGCCUAUCUGGAAGGCGGGAAGACAAAAAAUCCUUAUAUUUAGACGUCGGUUCGGAACGUAAUCGACGUCUACGUUCCUGUAAUUGAUUAUUUUCACCAAAUUCGAGGGUUUUAGACGUCGGCUAGGAGGGGCACCGACGUGAAUUACCNUGACAGGAAAUCAAGCGUCAAUCUUUUCAGCUUCUUUAAGAAGAAUAGACGUCGGAUCCCGAUCAAACACUGACGUCUAUAGACGUCGGUUUCUGGCGCAANCGACGNCCAAUUUCAUUUUAAAUAAACCGCANANCCUUCUAACCACUCAGUUUCUGAUCGCGUCUUCAUCUCUUCUCCUUUUUCUCUGGUUCUCCUCUUCUUUUACUCCCUUGCGCACCUCUACUUUUUAUCUCUUCCGGCAUUGCAUUGUAUUUUUUCAUAAUGUCAUUGUCUUCGUCCUCUCAUUU
Molecule: long non-coding RNA, 533 nt
Filed under: Vigna radiata
Lineage: Eukaryota; Viridiplantae; Streptophyta; Magnoliopsida; Fabales; Fabaceae
Description: long non-coding RNA (VRAD_LNC000925)
Source: RNAcentral